GGCCUAUCAGCUAGUUGGCGGGGUAAUGGCCCACCAAGGCGACGACGGGUAGCUGGUCUGAGAGGAUGGCCAGCCACAUUGGGACUGAGAGACGGCCCAGACUCCUACGGGAGGCAGCAGUGGGGAAUCUUGCGCAAUGGUCGAAAGACUGACGCAGCGACGCCGCGUGCGGGAGGAAGCUCUUCGGGGUGUAAACCGCUGUUGCCCGGGACGAACAGCCCGUUUCGAGGGUCGUGACGGUACCGGGUGAGGAAGCGCCGGCUAACUCUGUGCCAGCAGCCGCGGUAAUACAGAGGGCGCGAGCGUUGUCCGGAAUCACUGGGCGUAAAGGGCGCGUAAGUGGCGGCAUAAGGCCGCGGUGAAAGUUCGGGGCUCAACCCUGAAUCGGCCGCGGCGACUGUGUCGCUUGGGCACUGUAGAGGCAGAUGGAAUUCCGGGUGUAGCGGUGGAAUGCGUAGAGAUCCGGAAGAACACCGGUGGCGAAGGCGGUCUGCUGG
Molecule: ribosomal RNA, 497 nt
Filed under: uncultured Gemmatimonadota bacterium
Lineage: Bacteria; Pseudomonadati; Gemmatimonadota
Description: bacterial SSU rRNA
Rfam family: Bacterial small subunit ribosomal RNA
Source: RNAcentral